CCCUUUGAACCUUCUUUGAAGUGCCACAUGUAACUAAAGAAAGUCCUGGGAUGCAUCAGCACAUUAUGAAUUCCAGCUGCAAGCCAGUUUCCUGCUGAAGCUUAGGGUUGGAAAGAGAUCACCAUAUGCCAUCCAUCUCGUUAAAAUAAGCCCAAGAAGGAAAUUGUGAGAGGGAAGAAUGCAAGAGAGAUACUGUUUGUUUUGGCAGAAGCUGGAAAAGCUAAGUAGCUUCACUCUUAACAAAGAGAACUUGAUUAGCCACAAGGAAUACAGAAAGUUCCUCAAAACUACAACAGUGGGGACAAUUUGGGAACUGAAGGAAAAAUCAGCUUAUGUGAAGGUAAGACACUGCUGGGAGAAUGCUGGGACUGAGACUAAAAAUGUGACUCCGUUCUUUUUUUUUUUUAAAGAUAUUCAUGAAUGACAACAUACUUAAUAUUUUCCUAUAUAAUUGUUGCACUCUUAAUUUUAUUCAAAUAGAAUGCUCUCAAAUGUUAUGCUCCCAAUUUUAUUCAAACUCAUUUCUUUCAUUUAUGCAUAUUUUUAUCCAAAAUAACUAUUAAAAUAGGACAUAUUUAGCUUCUAAAUGUCGUUCAUUCUCAAUAACUAACUCAAAUGUUGUUAUUUAGUCACUAAGUCAUUUCCAACUCCUUUGUGACCCCAUGGACUGUAGCCCACCAAGCUCCUCUGUCCAUGGAAUUUCACAGGCAACAGUACUGAAGUUAGUUGUCAUUUCUUUUUCCAGGGAAUCUUCCCGACCCAGGGAUACAAUCUACAUAUUUUACAUUGGCAGGCGAAUUCUUUACCAUUGAUCCACAUGGAAAACAGCUAACCCAAGUACAACUAGCUUAAAUUUUUUGGUUGUUAAAACUCUAUGUUUCAGUGGAAGCUGGCUAGCUACUAGAGUCUCUUAUUUUUCUCUGUUUUCUCAUAAAUAAAUAAAUAGAUAAAAUCACCUUAUCCUCUCAUGAUUCUGAG
This 978-nucleotide long non-coding RNA is filed under the name Ovis aries (sheep). RNAcentral's name for it is "lncRNA (ENSOARG00000026318.1)". Lineage: Eukaryota; Metazoa; Chordata; Mammalia; Artiodactyla; Bovidae. The record is from RNAcentral.